RNAcentral lists this ribosomal RNA (540 nucleotides) under Alexandrium margalefii. RNAcentral describes it as "partial Bacterial small subunit ribosomal RNA". It matches the Rfam family "Bacterial small subunit ribosomal RNA", at positions 637 to 1243 of the family's 1533-position model. Lineage: Eukaryota; Dinophyceae; Gonyaulacales; Pyrocystaceae. The record is from RNAcentral.
UAUUCUAGAUUUGAUGUGGUGUAGGAAUGUUAAUAGUAAUAGUGAAAUGUAUAUAGAAUUGGUAUAAAAUAAAUUGGAUAUUGGUAGCUUGAAAAGGUAGAUAUUCGAUUCACGAAAGCUUGAGGUGUGACAGGGAUUUGAGACCCCUUUAAUUCGAGACUGAAAUUAUGCAGGCAAUGUUUGUGGAUCUCUUUUUAACAAAUAAAGGUUCUUUUCCUAAGGAGUACGCUUUCACUUGUGAAACUUAAAUGUUCUGGUGGUGGUUUAGAACAAUAGUGGAAUAGAUGAUUUAAUUCGAUGAAAUGCGAUAAAGCUUAUCUGUUAUCUGAAAUAAUACCUAGGUAUAGGUAGAAUUCUAUUCGAGGUAGUGCAUGGCUGUUGGAUGUUUUGUAAUAUCUGGUUUCGGACAGGAAUAGCCGAUACACUUUUAGUUGUUAUAGGUCUUUUGCAUCUUUUCAUAUGGUCUUUUAGAUAGAAUAACGUCGAGUCAUUAUGCUCUUUAGUUCGGAGAUAUUCAUGUGUUACUAGGAGAGGUAUAUA